RNAcentral lists this long non-coding RNA (265 nucleotides) under Panax ginseng (ginseng). RNAcentral's name for it is "long non-coding RNA (PGIN_LNC009218)". Lineage: Eukaryota; Viridiplantae; Streptophyta; Magnoliopsida; Apiales; Araliaceae. The record is from RNAcentral.
ACUCUCUAGACACACUCUCUCAAACUCUAGCCAACGAAAUUCUCUUACCCAUAAGCUCCUAAUCAAAGCCCAACCAUCACAAACAACAAAUCAGAAGCAUCAAAGCCAAAAAAACAGAAAUCGAAGCUAGAAAAGGUACGAAAUUCCCUAAUUUUGAAAUCCUUCGAUUCAAUGUUAAUUGAUGCAAUUGAUUGUUUAAAGUUGUGUAAUAAGGAGUCUAUUAAUGUUCUGGGUUGUAAAAACACAGACUCAUAACAUCAAAGUG